GAUGAACGCUGGCGGCGUGCCUAAUACAUGCAAGUCGAGCGAACAGACGAGGAGCUUGCUCCUCUGACGUUAGCGGCGGACGGGUGAGUAACACGUGGAUAACCUACCUAUAAGACUGGGAUAACUUCGGGAAACCGGAGCUAAUACCGGAUAAUAUAUUGAACCGCAUGGUUCAAUAGUGAAAGACGGUUUUGCUGUCACUUAUAGAUGGAUCCGCGCCGCAUUAGCUAGUUGGUAAGGUAACGGCUUACCAAGGCAACGAUGCGUAGCCGACCUGAGAGGGUGUUCGGCCACCCUGGACCUGAGACACGGUCCAGACUCCUACGGGAGGCAGCAGUAGGGAAUCUUCCGCAAUGGGCGAAAGCCUGACGGAGCAACGCCGCGUGAGUGAUGAAGGUCUUCGGCUCGUAAAACUCUGUUAUUAGGGAAGAACAAAUGUGUAAGUAACUAUGCACGUCUGGACGGUACCUAAUCAGAAAGCCACGGCUAACUACGU
Molecule: ribosomal RNA, 496 nt
Filed under: uncultured bacterium
Lineage: Bacteria
Description: partial 16S ribosomal RNA
Rfam family: Bacterial small subunit ribosomal RNA
Source: RNAcentral